UGAGGAAUAUUGGUCAAUGGGCGAGAGCCUGAACCAGCCAAGUAGCGUGAAGGAUGACUGCCCUAUGGGUUGUAAACUUCUUUUAUAAAGGAAUAAAGUCGGGUAUGGAUACCCGUUUGCAUGUACUUUAUGAAUAAGGAUCGGCUAACUCCGUGCCAGCAGCCGCGGUAAUACGGAGGAUCCGAGCGUUAUCCGGAUUUAUUGGGUUUAAAGGGAGCGUAGAUGGAUAUUUAAGUCAGUUGUGAAAGUUUGCGGCUCAACCGUAAAAUUGCAGUUGAUACUGGAUAUCUUGAGUGCAGUUGAGGCAGGCGGAAUUCGUGGUGUAGCGGUGAAAUGCUUAGAUAUCACGAAGAACUCCGAUUGCGAAGGCAGCUUGCUAAACUGCAACUGACAUUGAUGCUCGAAAGUGUGGGUAUCAAACAGGAUUAGAUACCCUGGUAGUCCACACGGUAAACGAUGAAUACUCGCUGUUUGCGAUAUACAGUAAGCGGCCAAGCGAAAGCGUUAAGUAUUCCACCUGGGGAGUACGCCGGCAACGGUGAAACUCAAAGGAAUUGACGGGGGCCCGCACAAGCGGAGGAACAUGUGGUUUAAUUCGAUGAUACGCGAGGAACCUUACCCGGGCUUGAAUUGCAACUGAAUGAUGUGGAGACAUGUCAGCCGCAAGGCAGUUGUGAAGGUGCUGCAUGGUUGUCGUCAGCUCGUGCCGUGAGGUGUCGGCUUAAGUGCCAUAACGAGCGCAACCCUUAUCGAUAGUUACCAUCAGGUUAUGCUGGGGACUCUGUCGAGACUGCCGUCGUAAGAUGUGAGGAAGGUGGGGAUGACGUCAAAUCAGCACGGCCCUUACGUCCGGGGCUACACACGUGUUACAAUGGGGGGUACAGAAGGCAGCUACACGGCGACGUGAUGCUAAUCCCGAAAGCCUCUCUCAGUUCGGACUGGAGUCUGCAACCCGACUCCACGAAGCUGGAUUCGCUAGUAAUCGCGCAUCAGCCACGGCGCGGUGAAUACGUUCCC
Molecule: ribosomal RNA, 1017 nt
Filed under: uncultured bacterium
Lineage: Bacteria
Description: bacterial SSU rRNA
Rfam family: Bacterial small subunit ribosomal RNA
Source: RNAcentral